CAGCCGCCGCGGUAAUACGUAGGGUGCAAGCGUUAAUCGGAAUUACUGGGCGUAAAGCGUGCGCAGGCGGUUCGUUAAGACAGAUGUGAAAUCCCCGGGCUUAACCUGGGAACUGCAUUUGUGACUGGCGGGCUAGAGUAUGGCAGAGGGGGGUAGAAUUCCACGUGUAGCAGUGAAAUGCGUAGAGAUGUGGAGGAAUACCGAUGGCGAAGGCAGCCCCCUGGGCCAAUACUGACGCUCAUGCACGAAAGCGUGGGGAGCAAACAGGAUUAGAUACCCCCGUAGUCCUGUCUCUUAUACA
Molecule: ribosomal RNA, 301 nt
Filed under: uncultured bacterium
Lineage: Bacteria
Description: partial 16S ribosomal RNA
Rfam family: Bacterial small subunit ribosomal RNA
Source: RNAcentral